AUGAACGCUGGCGGCGUGCCUAAUACAUGCACGUCGCGCGAACAGACGAGGAGCUUGCUCCUCUGACGUUAGCGGCGGACGGGUGAGUAACACGUGGAUAACCUACCUAUAAGACUGGGAUAACUUCGGGAAACCGGAGCUAAUACCGGAUAAUAUAUUGAACCGCAUGGUUCAAUAGUGAAAGACGGUUUUGCUGUCACUUAUAGAUGGAUCCGCGCCGCAUUAGCUAGUUGGUAAGGUAACGGCUUACCAAGGCAACGAUGCGUAGCCGACCUGAGAGGGUGAUCGGCCACACUGGAACUGAGACACGGUCCAGACUCCUACGGGAGGCAGCAGUAGGGAAUCUUCCGCAAUGGGCGAAAGCCUGACGGAGCAACGCCGCGUGAGUGAUGAAGGUCUUCGGAUCGUAAAACUCUGUUAUUAGGGAAGAACAAAUGUGUAAGUAACUAUGCACGUCUUGACGGUACCUAAUCAGAAAGCCACGGCUAACUACG
This 494-nucleotide ribosomal RNA is filed under the name uncultured bacterium. RNAcentral's name for it is "partial 16S ribosomal RNA". It matches the Rfam family "Bacterial small subunit ribosomal RNA", at positions 29 to 505 of the family's 1533-position model. The record is from RNAcentral.